UACGUAGGGUGCAAGCGUUGUCCGGAAUUAUUGGGCGUAAAGGGCUCGUAGGCGGUUUGUCGCGUCGGGAGUGAAAACUCAGGGCUUAACCCUGAGCCUGCUUCCGAUACGGGCAGACUAGAGGUAUGCAGGGGAGAAUGGAAUUCCUGGUGUAGCGGUGAAAUGCGCAGAUAUCAGGAGGAACACCGGUGGCGAAGGCGGUUCUCUGGGCAUUACCUGACGCUGAGGAGCGAAAGCGUGGGGAGCGAUCCGG
This 253-nucleotide ribosomal RNA is filed under the name uncultured bacterium. RNAcentral describes it as "partial 16S ribosomal RNA". It matches the Rfam family "Bacterial small subunit ribosomal RNA", at positions 524 to 776 of the family's 1533-position model. The record is from RNAcentral.